ACGGCGAGUGAAGCGGCAACAGCUCAAAUUUGAAAUCUGGCUUCGGCCCGAGUUGUAAUUUGCAGAGGAUGCUUUUGGUGCGGUGCCUUCCGAGUUCCCUGGAACGGGACGCCACAGAGGGUGAGAGCCCCGUAUGGUCGGACACCAAUCCUGUGUAAAGCUCCUUCGACGAGUCGAGUAGUUUGGGAAUGCUGCUCUAAAUGGGAGGUAAAUCUCUUCUAAAGCUAAAUACCGGCCAGAGACCGAUAGCGCACAAGUAGAGUGAUCGAAAGAUGAAAAGCACCUUGAAAAGGGGGUUAAACAGUACGUGAAAUUGUUGAAAGGGAAGCACUUGUGACCAGACUUGGGCCGGGCGGCUCAUCAGGGGUUCUCCCCUGUGCAUUCCGCCCGGUACAGGCCAGCAUCGGUUCUUACCGGGGGAUAAGAACGGCAGGAACGUGGCUCCCUCUCGGGGGAGUGUUAUAGCCUGCCGUACGAUACCCUGGCGGGGACCGAGGUUCGCGCUUCCGCAAGGAUGCUGGCGUAAUGGUUACUAGUGACCCGUCUUGAAACACGGACCAAGGAGUCGUCCAUUAGAGCGAGCGUUUGGGUGUAAAACCCGCACGCGUAAUGAAAGUGAAAUUAGGUGAGAGCUUCGGCGCAUCAUCGACCGAUCCUGAUGUUCUCGGAUGGAUUUGAGUAAGAGUUUUAACGGACGGACCCGAAAGACAGUGAACUAUGCUUGUAUAGGGUGAAGCCAGAGGAAACUCUGGUGGAGGCUCGCAGC
This 766-nucleotide ribosomal RNA is filed under the name Tubakia dryina. RNAcentral describes it as "eukaryotic LSU rRNA". It matches the Rfam family "Eukaryotic large subunit ribosomal RNA", at positions 86 to 881 of the family's 3401-position model. The record is from RNAcentral. Lineage: Eukaryota; Fungi; Ascomycota; Sordariomycetes; Diaporthales; Tubakiaceae.